AUUAAUUUAAAAAAGACAUCAGAAGCCAUGCCAGAGAGACUCUUUGUCACAGUCUGAUUAUGAAUCUGGAAUGACAAGAAGAAAAAUUUGAACACAAAGAGACACCAAAGAUGCUAGUGCAGAUAAGAGACCAUGUGAGGACAGUGAGAAGACAGCUCCUUGCAACUUAGGAGGGAGGCCUCAGAAGAAACCAACCCUGGUGACAUAUUGAUCUCAAACACCUCGCCCUAGAAUUGUGAGGAAAUACAUUUUUGUUGUUGAAGUCACACAAUCUGUGGUAUCUUGUUACACCAGCUCUGGAAAACGAAUACAGGAAUUUUCUGGAUCAUUAUGGAGGAAGAGGGGGAGCCCAAACAAAACACCGGACUCUGAAACAAGUCGACAGAAAUCGGGCUUUGGGAGA
This 403-nucleotide long non-coding RNA is filed under the name Homo sapiens (human). RNAcentral's name for it is "HSALNT0292637". The record is from RNAcentral. Lineage: Eukaryota; Metazoa; Chordata; Mammalia; Primates; Hominidae.